Molecule: unclassified non-coding RNA, 215 nt
Filed under: Hevea brasiliensis (rubber tree)
Lineage: Eukaryota; Viridiplantae; Streptophyta; Magnoliopsida; Malpighiales; Euphorbiaceae
Source: RNAcentral
UAAUAAAAAUUAAGUUUACUAUUUAUAAAUAUGUAAUUUUUUCAUCUUUUAACUCGAGACCUUCCAAAUAAAGUCAUAUGCUUAUUCAGAUAACGAGAACUUGCUUCUAUAAAGAUUUGAAAAAUUAUACACAACUAAUGGGGAUUUACUUUUACAUCACACACAACAGAACUCGAACAAAACAAGGGAAACGAUAUGUAAAAAAAAAAAAAAAA